AGUGAACGCUGGCGGUAGGCCUAACACAUGCAAGUCGAACGGCAGCACAGUAAGAGCUUGCCUUUACGGGUGGCGAGUGGCGGACGGGUGAGGAAUACAUCGGAAUCUACUUUUUCGUGGGGGAUAACGUAGGGAAACUUACGCUAAUACCGCAUACGACCUACGGGUGAAAGCAGGGGAUCUUCGGACUUUGCGCGAUUGAAUGAGCCGAUGUCGGAUUAGCUAGUUGGCGGGGUAAAGGCCCACCAAGGCGACGAUCCGUAGCUGGUCUGAGAGGAUGAUCAGCCACACUGGGACUGAGACACGGUCCAGACUCCUACUGGAGGCAGCAGUGUGGAAUAUUGGACAGUGGGCGCAAGCCUGAUCCAGCCAUACCGCGUGGGUGAAGAAGGCCUUCGGGUUGUAAAGCCCUUUUGUUUGGAAAGAAAAGCAGCAGGUUAAUACCCCGCUGUUCUGACGGUACCCAAAGAAUAAGCACCGGCUAACUUCGUG
This 492-nucleotide ribosomal RNA is filed under the name uncultured bacterium. Its description in RNAcentral is "partial 16S ribosomal RNA". It matches the Rfam family "Bacterial small subunit ribosomal RNA", at positions 29 to 507 of the family's 1533-position model. The record is from RNAcentral.